Molecule: ribosomal RNA, 605 nt
Filed under: uncultured bacterium
Lineage: Bacteria
Description: bacterial SSU rRNA
Rfam family: Bacterial small subunit ribosomal RNA
Source: RNAcentral
AAACUCAAAUGAAUUGACGGGGGCCCGCACAAGCGGUGGAGCAUGUGGUUUAAUUCGAUGCAACGCGAAGAACCUUACCUACUCUUGACAUCCACAGAACUUUCCAGAGAUGGAUUGGUGCCUUCGGGAACUGUGAGACAGGUGCUGCAUGGCUGUCGUCAGCUCGUGUUGUGAAAUGUUGGGUUAAGUCCCGCAACGAGCGCAACCCUUAUCCUUUGUUGCCAGCACGUCAUGGUGGGAACUCAAAGGAGACUGCCGGUGAUAAACCGGAGGAAGGUGGGGAUGACGUCAAGUCAUCAUGGCCCUUACGAGUAGGGCUACACACGUGCUACAAUGGCAUAUACAAAGAGAAGCGAACUCGCGAGAGCAAGCGGACCUCAUAAAGUAUGUCGUAGUCCGGAUCGGAGUCUGCAACUCGACUCCGUGAAGUCGGAAUCGCUAGUAAUCGUAGAUCAGAAUGCUACGGUGAAUACGUUCCCGGGCCUUGUACACACCGCCCGUCACACCAUGGGAGUGGGUUGCAAAAGAAGUAGGUAGCUUAACCUUCGGGAGGGCGCUUACCACUUUGUGAUUCAUGACUGGGGUGAAGUCGUAACAAGGUAACC